RNAcentral lists this ribosomal RNA (22 nucleotides) under Idiosoma sp. WAM T127920. RNAcentral's name for it is "Anidiops sp. WAM T127920 partial 28S ribosomal RNA". RNAcentral also lists the same sequence under 1 other name. The record is from RNAcentral. Lineage: Eukaryota; Metazoa; Arthropoda; Arachnida; Araneae; Idiopidae.
UCGACCUCAGAUCAGACGAGAU